GACGAGGUUGCCGAGUGGUUAAGGCGAUGGACUGCUAAUCCAUUGUGCUCUGCACGCGUGGGUUCGAAUCCAUUCCUCAUCG
Molecule: non-coding RNA, 82 nt
Organism: Ciona savignyi (Pacific transparent sea squirt)
Lineage: Eukaryota; Metazoa; Chordata; Ascidiacea; Phlebobranchia; Cionidae
Source: Rfam